GCUUGCCUGGGGUGAGUCAGGGCUCUUCUGUCAUCUGGGCCCCCUCUGGGCUCUGGGAGGCCGCCACUGGAGCCCUGCCUCUUCCUGGCAG
Molecule: microRNA precursor, 91 nt
Organism: Mesocricetus auratus (golden hamster)
Lineage: Eukaryota; Metazoa; Chordata; Mammalia; Rodentia; Cricetidae
Source: Ensembl